UUUUCUUUUUCUGUUUUGAUGAAAUCACAUAGCAAAAGAGACUAAAAGGGAUGGUUCUGUAG
This 62-nucleotide small RNA is filed under the name Arabidopsis thaliana (thale cress). RNAcentral describes it as "ATSL141010". The record is from RNAcentral. Lineage: Eukaryota; Viridiplantae; Streptophyta; Magnoliopsida; Brassicales; Brassicaceae.